Molecule: long non-coding RNA, 228 nt
Organism: Pseudophryne corroboree (corroboree frog)
Lineage: Eukaryota; Metazoa; Chordata; Amphibia; Anura; Myobatrachidae
Exons: 3
Source: RefSeq, a predicted model, not a curated record
GAUUUAUUGUUUUCUGCUAAAGAGUUUUUUUUUCUCCAUACAGUAGAAACGUAUGGGUCACCCAAAAUAGAGACAACAGGCUGGGAAGCUGCAUACAUCACUCUUGGUGUUCUUUUCCUUGUUGUGGUGAUAUUUUUAUCUUCAUUCUAUGGAAAAGGACAAUGUUUCCGUCCAUCCUGUCUUCAUGACUGAAAGGAUCGCUGAGCUGUUAUAUUGCUAAGUAACAGG